Long non-coding RNA from Bos taurus (domestic cattle), 841 nucleotides. The record is from Ensembl. NCBI's taxonomy places the organism in Eukaryota, Metazoa, Chordata, Mammalia, Artiodactyla, Bovidae.
CGCAGGCCCGGGAAGAACACCCCCAUCUGAUAUUAAGGUCUGUUCAACCGGUUCAUUACCCAGCGCACUCCAGCCAGCAGCCUCUCAACAACCUCUGGCUUGCCAAGUGAACCAGCCCCCAACUCACAUCCUCUUGCUCACUUUCUCGGUUCCUAGACCCCUCCCCCAACACACACCUCCCACCCCGCUCAUUUCUUACUCCCUGACACACCAGGAUCUUACUCAGUUUGCUUAAGGACUUUACCAGAACUCCGUCAGCCAUUUUUUCCAAAAUCUCCCCCAAAUUAAGACCAGCAGCCGGCCUGCUCUGCAAACAAAAGAUUCACCGUCAACACCUUGAAAUCUGGAAAGGAUCUGGCACGAGUCACUGGGAGGUUUUCACUGGAAAUGCAGUGCAUUUGUUGGAGCCAUGGGGCUGUGUUGUGGUAACAUGCAUCAUUAAUAACAAGCUGCAACCAGGUGAUCCAGAGCAAGGUUAGGCAUGAAAAUGCCCAGCUUCGGGGGCUGCAUUCAUCCUUCCUAAUACAUGACGAGCACCAUGGAAGAUAAUGGACUGUAUGAAGCUGAGCAGCCCCAAAGAAGAGAAGUACCUCCAAAAUAUGAGUUGUUUAUGGACACUGAAUAGGAUACCAAUUAAGAGCUUGGGUUUAGGAGCCAGACUGCUGUGAUCCAUCCUGGAUCUUGCACUUACUACCUGUGUAAUCUUGGGAAAUAAAAACCUUUCUGCACCUCAGUUUCCUAUCUAUAAAAUGGGUAUAGUAGCAGUACCUGCUGCAUAGGAUUGUUUAUUAAAAUAGACAACCAAGUAAAAUACUCCGCCAAGUGCCUGAUAUACAGUGCC